This is a long non-coding RNA of Arabidopsis thaliana (thale cress), 223 nucleotides long. RefSeq annotates it as other RNA. NCBI's taxonomy places the organism in Eukaryota, Viridiplantae, Streptophyta, Magnoliopsida, Brassicales, Brassicaceae. The record is from RefSeq. The transcript has 2 exons.
CGGAACAUGCAGAGGAAUCUUCUUCUUGCUUUUCCCAAAUAAUUUUGUUAGCUUCUCUCUCACAGGCUCCGUUGUCAGAAUCCGACCAAGACUUCUGCAGCGGGAAGAAUCUAAAUCGAGAGAGGGGUCAAUAUUGGACCAUGCAAGGAUUACGAAGAGAAAUCGCGAGCUUUGGUUCAUCUUCGAAAGUCGAAACACCAAAUCAUUUGUUGCCUUUCAGAGU